GAUGAAGAACGUAGCGAAAUGCGAUAAGUAAUGUGAAUUGCAGAAUUCAGUGAAUCAUCGAAUCUUUGAACGCACAUUGCGCCCGCCAGUAUUCUGGCGGGCAUGCCUGUCUGAGCGUCAUUUCAACCCUCAUGCCCCUAGGGCGUGGUGUUGGGGAUCGGCCAAAGCCCGCGAGGGACGGCAGGCCCCUAAAUCUAGUGGCGGACCCGUCGUGGCCUCCUCUGCGAAGUAGUGAUAUUCCGCAUCGGAGAGCGAUGAGCCCCUGCCGUUAAACCCCCAACUUUCCAAGGUUGACCUCAGAUCAGGUAGGAAUACCCGCUGAACUUAAGCAUAUCAAUAAGCGGAGGA
Molecule: unclassified non-coding RNA, 348 nt
Filed under: soil metagenome
Description: partial contains 5.8S ribosomal RNA, internal transcribed spacer 2, and large subunit ribosomal RNA
Rfam family: 5.8S ribosomal RNA (bases 1-120)
Source: RNAcentral